RNAcentral lists this microRNA precursor (78 nucleotides) under Myotis lucifugus (little brown bat). RNAcentral describes it as "mir-9229 microRNA precursor family". It matches the Rfam family "mir-9229 microRNA precursor family". Lineage: Eukaryota; Metazoa; Chordata; Mammalia; Chiroptera; Vespertilionidae. The record is from Rfam by way of RNAcentral.
GAGACACUCUUCUGGGGCAAGACUUGCUUCAGUGGGGCUUUGGUGCUCACACUGAGUGUGCCCCCUGAGUGUGUCCCU